Molecule: transfer RNA, 72 nt
Filed under: Marmota marmota marmota (Alpine marmot)
Lineage: Eukaryota; Metazoa; Chordata; Mammalia; Rodentia; Sciuridae
Also listed under: 1 other name
Rfam family: tRNA
About the family: Transfer RNA (tRNA) molecules are approximately 80 nucleotides in length. Their secondary structure includes four short double-helical elements and three loops (D, anti-codon, and T loops). Further hydrogen bonds mediate the characteristic L-shaped molecular structure. tRNAs have two regions of fundamental functional importance: the anti-codon, which is responsible for specific mRNA codon recognition, and the 3' end, to which the tRNAs corresponding amino acid is attached (by aminoacyl-tRNA synthetases). tRNAs cope with the degeneracy of the genetic code in two manners: having more than one tRNA (with a specific anti-codon) for a particular amino acid; and 'wobble' base-pairing, i.e. permitting non-standard base-pairing at the 3rd anti-codon position.
Source: Rfam by way of RNAcentral
UGGGUUGUGGCUCAAUGGUAGAGCAUUUGCCUCACAUGCAUGAGGCCCUGGGUUUGAUCCUCAGCACCACAU